RNAcentral lists this ribosomal RNA (1475 nucleotides) under Clostridioides difficile. RNAcentral describes it as "partial 23S ribosomal RNA". It matches the Rfam family "Bacterial large subunit ribosomal RNA", at positions 1219 to 2703 of the family's 2925-position model. The record is from RNAcentral. Lineage: Bacteria; Bacillati; Bacillota; Clostridia; Peptostreptococcales; Peptostreptococcaceae.
UAAUGAUGGGUAGGGGAGCUUCCCAUACAGGUUGAAGCAUGACCGUAAGGACAUGUGGACAGUAUGGGAGUGAGAAUGUUGGCAUGAGUAGCGAGAUGUGGGUGAGAAUCCCACAGGCCGUAAACCCAAGGUUUCCAGGGGAAGGUUCGUCCGCCCUGGGUUAGUCGGGACCUAAGCUGAGGCCGAAAGGCGUAGGUGAUGGACAACAGGUUGAUAUUCCUGUACUACCGAUAACCGUUUGAGAGAAGGGAUGACACAGUAGGAUAAGUUAAGCACACUGUUGGUUAUGUGUGCCCAAGCAUUGAGGCAGUCAAAGCAGGCAAAUCCGCUUUGAUAAUGCUGGGAUGUGAUGGGGAGCGAAAUUUAGUAGCGAAGUAGCUGAUUUCACACUGUCAAGAAAAGUCUCUAUCGAGGUUAAAGGUACCCGUACCGCAAACCGACACAGGUGGGUGAGGAGAGUAUCCUAAGGCCAGCGAGAGAACUGUUGUUAAGGAACUCGGCAAAAUGACCCCGUAACUUAGGGAUAAGGGGUGCCACCAUCAGGUGGCCGCAGAGAAUAGGCCCAAGCGACUGUUUACCAAAAACAUAGGUUUCUGCUAAGUCGCAAGACGAUGUAUAGGAGCUGACGCCUGCCCGGUGCUGGAAGGUUAAGGGGAUCUGUUAGAGCAAUCGAAGCAGUGAACUUAAGCCCCAGUAAACGGCGGCCGUAACUAUAACGGUCCUAAGGUAGCGAAAUUCCUUGUCGGGUAAGUUCCGACCCGCACGAAAGGCGUAACGAUUUGGGCACUGUCUCAACAACAGACUCGGUGAAAUUGUAAUUCCGGUGAAGAUGCCGGAUACCUGCGACAGGACGGAAAGACCCCAUGGAGCUUUACUGUAGCUUGACAUUGGGUCUUGGUACUACAUGUACAGGAUAGGUGGGAGGCUUUGAAACCAGGACGCCAGUUUUGGCGGAGCCAUCCUUGGGAUACCACCCUUGUAGUACUGGGACUCUAACCAUAGGCCAUGAAUCUGGUCUUGGGACACUGUCAGGUGGGCAGUUUGACUGGGGCGGUCGCCUCCCAAAAGGUAACGGAGGCGCUCAAAGGUUCUCUCAGUACGGUCGGAAAUCGUACGUAGAGUGUAAAGGCAAAAGAGAGCUUGAUUGCAAGACAUACAGGUCGAGCAAGGAUGAAAAUCGGACUUAGUGAUCCGGUGGUUCUGCGUGGAAGGGCCAUCGCUCAACGGAUAAAAGCUACCCUGGGGAUAACAGGCUUAUCUCCCCCAAGAGUCCACAUCGACGGGGAGGUUUGGCACCUCGAUGUCGGCUCAUCACAUCCUGGGGCUGUAGUAGGUCCCAAGGGUUGGGCUGUUCGCCCAUUAAAGUGGUACGCGAGCUGGGUUCAGAACGUCGUGAGACAGUUCGGUCCCUAUCCGUCGCAGGCGUAGGAAAUUUGAGAAGACCUGUCCUUAGUACGAGAGGACCGGGAUGGACG